This 32-nucleotide non-coding RNA is filed under the name unclassified sequences. RNAcentral describes it as "L31-Firmicutes ribosomal protein leader". It matches the Rfam family "L31-Firmicutes ribosomal protein leader". The record is from RNAcentral.
CUAUGACUUUUACAAAGUCAUGGCGAAAGGAG